Molecule: ribosomal RNA, 253 nt
Filed under: uncultured bacterium
Lineage: Bacteria
Description: partial 16S ribosomal RNA
Rfam family: Bacterial small subunit ribosomal RNA
Source: RNAcentral
UACGGAGGGUGCAAGCGUUGUCCGGAAUCACUGGGCGUAAAGGGCGCGUAGGCGGCUCAUGAAGGCUGUGGUGAAAGUCCGGGGCUCAACCUCGGAUCGGCCGUGGCGACUCGUGGGCUGGAGCACUGUAGAGGCGGGUGGAAUUCCGGGUGUAGCGGUGGAAUGCGUAGAGAUCCGGAAGGACACCAGUGGCGAAGGCGGCCCGCUGGGCAGUGGCUGACGCUGAGGCGCGACAGCGUGGGGAGCAAACAGG